RNAcentral lists this ribosomal RNA (392 nucleotides) under uncultured bacterium. RNAcentral's name for it is "partial 16S ribosomal RNA". It matches the Rfam family "Bacterial small subunit ribosomal RNA", at positions 523 to 917 of the family's 1533-position model. The record is from RNAcentral.
AUACGGAGGAUCCGAGCGUUAUCCGGAUUUAUUGGGUUUAAAGGGUGCGCAGGCGGGAGAUUAAGUCGGCGGUGAAAUUUUGCAGCUUAACUGUAAAAGUGCCUUCGAAACUGGUUUCCUUGAGUGUAGAUGAAGUAGGCGGAAUUUGUGGUGUAGCGGUGAAAUGCAUAGAUAUCACGAGGAACUCCGAUUGCGCAGGCAGCUUACUAAACUACUACUGACGCUCAGGCACGAAGGCGUGGGGAUCAAACAGGAUUAGAUACCCUGGUAGUCCACGCAGUAAACGAUGAUUACUCGCUGUUUGCGAUAUACAGUAAGCGGCUUAGCGAAAGCGUUAAGUAAUCCACCUGGGGAGUACGUUCGCAAGAAUGAAACUCAAAUGAAUUGACGGG